GUGGGGAAUAUUGGACAAUGGGCGAAAGCCUGAUCCAGCCAUGCCGCGUGUGUGAAGAAGGUCUUCGGAUUGUAAAGCACUUUAAGUUGGGAGGAAGGGCAGUAAGUUAAUACCUUGCUGUUUUGACGUUACCGACAGAAUAAGCACCGGCUAACUUCGUGCCAGCAGCCGCGGUAAUACGAAGGGUGCAAGCGUUAAUCGGCAUUACUGGGCGUAAAGCGCGCGUAGGUGGUUUUGUAAGUUGGAGGUGAAAUCCCCGGGCUCCACCUGGGAACUGCCUCCAAAACUGCAUGACUAGAGUACGGUAGAGGGUAGUGGAAUUUCCUGUGUAGCGGUGAAAUGCGUAGAUAUAGGAAGGAACACCAGUGGCGAAGGCGACUACCUGGACUGAUACUGACACUGAGGUGCGAAAGCGUGGGGAGCAAACAGGAUUAGAUACCCGGGUAGUCC
This 450-nucleotide ribosomal RNA is filed under the name uncultured bacterium. RNAcentral's name for it is "partial 16S ribosomal RNA". It matches the Rfam family "Bacterial small subunit ribosomal RNA", at positions 354 to 796 of the family's 1533-position model. The record is from RNAcentral.